RNAcentral lists this long non-coding RNA (216 nucleotides) under Mytilus galloprovincialis (Mediterranean mussel). Lineage: Eukaryota; Metazoa; Mollusca; Bivalvia; Mytilida; Mytilidae. The record is from RNAcentral.
GCAUUUUUGAGUUAUUUUUGAAAACUAGAAAAUACCACCUUUUUCUUAUGAAUAAAAUCCCUUAACUCAAUAACAUAAAAUCUAAAAUUAAUAAAAAUCGAAAGGGAGUUUACAACAAUAGAUAUAAACAUUUCAGCAAAGUUUCAUGAGAACUGCUGAAAACAUUUUUGUGUUAAUGUCUGAAAACUGGAAAAUCCCCCUUUUUAAUUAAUAAAA